RNAcentral lists this ribosomal RNA (440 nucleotides) under uncultured bacterium. RNAcentral describes it as "partial 16S ribosomal RNA". It matches the Rfam family "Bacterial small subunit ribosomal RNA", at positions 338 to 795 of the family's 1533-position model. The record is from RNAcentral.
CCUACGGGAGGCAGCAGUGGGGAAUAUUGCACAAUGGGGGGAACCCUGAUGCAGCGACGCCGCGUGAGUGAAGAAGUAUUUCGGUAUGUAAAGCUCUAUCAGCAGGGAAGAAAAUGACGGUACCUGACUAAGAAGCCCCGGCUAACUACGUGCCAGCAGCCGCGGUAAUACGUAGGGGGCAAGCGUUAUCCGGAUUUACUGGGUGUAAAGGGAGCGCAGACGGCUGUGCAAGUCUGGAGUGAAAGGGGGGGGCCCAACCCCCGGACUGCUCUGGAAACUGUAAAGCUGGAGUGCAGGAGAGGUAAGCGGAAUGCCUGGUGUAGCGGUGAAAUGCGUAGAUAUUAGGAGGAACACCAGUGGCGAAGGCGGCUUACUGGACUGCAACUGACGUUGAGGCUCGAAAGCGUGGGGAGCAAACAGGAUUAGAUACCCCGGUAGUC